This 411-nucleotide long non-coding RNA is filed under the name Ananas comosus (pineapple). RNAcentral's name for it is "long non-coding RNA (ACOM_LNC031364)". The record is from RNAcentral. Lineage: Eukaryota; Viridiplantae; Streptophyta; Magnoliopsida; Poales; Bromeliaceae.
CAAUCUGAUGCAAAUAUAGAAAUCUGGGUCCAUCGUCAAUCGCGACAGUCCAGAACAGUCUAUACACUAUUGUAAAAAUAAACUCGGCAUCCUAACACGAGCGUAAACUCAUACUAUACUAACCCGGGUAUCCAUUGCAUACUAACAGCGAUGACACUACUGUAAAAAUAAACUCGGCAUCUCAGCACGAGCGUAAACUCAUCCUACACUAACCUGGAUAUCCAUCGCAUACUAACAGCGACGAUACAAUAAAACCACAGUUCCUAAAGCUAAAUCUGGUAAUUUUCAGAAAUGACAGUGUAGGAUCUAUAUGUUUUUUCCUAAGUCAAUAUCAAGUCCAACAUAUAAAAUUAAAUACUAGCUUAACUCCAAAUUCAGAUUUUAUAAUCUAAUCCAUGAAUUCGAGUACUA